Molecule: transfer RNA, 72 nt
Filed under: Endomicrobium proavitum
Lineage: Bacteria; Pseudomonadati; Elusimicrobiota; Endomicrobiia; Endomicrobiales; Endomicrobiaceae
Rfam family: tRNA
About the family: Transfer RNA (tRNA) molecules are approximately 80 nucleotides in length. Their secondary structure includes four short double-helical elements and three loops (D, anti-codon, and T loops). Further hydrogen bonds mediate the characteristic L-shaped molecular structure. tRNAs have two regions of fundamental functional importance: the anti-codon, which is responsible for specific mRNA codon recognition, and the 3' end, to which the tRNAs corresponding amino acid is attached (by aminoacyl-tRNA synthetases). tRNAs cope with the degeneracy of the genetic code in two manners: having more than one tRNA (with a specific anti-codon) for a particular amino acid; and 'wobble' base-pairing, i.e. permitting non-standard base-pairing at the 3rd anti-codon position.
Source: Rfam by way of RNAcentral
GCGCUCAUAGUCCAAUGGAUAGGACAUCGGUUUCCGGAACCGACGAUUCCGGUUCAAGUCCGGAUGGGCGCU